Molecule: ribosomal RNA, 323 nt
Filed under: uncultured eukaryote
Lineage: Eukaryota
Description: partial 18S ribosomal RNA
Rfam family: Eukaryotic small subunit ribosomal RNA
Source: RNAcentral
CCCUUAGAUGUUCUGGGCUGCACGCGCGCUACACUGAUGCAUGCAACGAGUUCUAUCCUUGGCCGGAAGGCCUGGGUAAUCUGUGAACGUGCAUCGUGAUAGGGAUAGAUUAUUGCAAUUAUUAAUCUUGAACGAGGAAUUCCUAGUAAACGCAAGUCAUCAGCUUGCAUUGAUUACGUCCCUGCCCUUUGUACACACCGCCCGUCGCACCUACCGAUCGAAGGUAAUGAUGAGCCCUCAGGAUUGUGGCCUCGUCGCGUCAGCGUCUUGGCUGCGAGAAUCUGUGCAAAUCCCUACCUUUAGAGGAAGGUGAAGUCGUANCA